GACGUAGGGCGCGAGCGUUAAUCGGAAUUACUGGGCGUAAAGCGUGCGCAGGCGGUUUGUUAAGUCUGAUGUGAAAGCCCCGGGCUCAACCUGGGAACUGCAUUGGAAACUGGCAAGCUCGAGUAUGGCAGAGGGGGGUGGAAUUCCGCGUGUAGCAGUGAAAUGCGUAGAGAUGCGGAGGAACACCGAUGGCGAAGGCAGCCCCCUGGGCCAAUACUGACGCUCAGGCACGAAAGCGUGGGGAGCAAACGGG
Molecule: ribosomal RNA, 253 nt
Filed under: uncultured bacterium
Lineage: Bacteria
Description: partial 16S ribosomal RNA
Rfam family: Bacterial small subunit ribosomal RNA
Source: RNAcentral